Molecule: ribosomal RNA, 1398 nt
Filed under: Escherichia coli
Lineage: Bacteria; Pseudomonadati; Pseudomonadota; Gammaproteobacteria; Enterobacterales; Enterobacteriaceae
Description: bacterial LSU rRNA
Rfam family: Bacterial large subunit ribosomal RNA
Source: RNAcentral
AUGCUGGAGGUAUCAGAAGUGCGAAUGCUGACAUAAGUAACGAUAAAGCGGGUGAAAAGCCCGCUCGCCGGAAGACCAAGGGUUCCUGUCCAACGUUAAUCGGGGCAGGGUGAGUCGACCCCUAAGGCGAGGCCGAAAGGCGUAGUCGAUGGGAAACAGGUUAAUAUUCCUGUACUUGGUGUUACUGCGAAGGGGGGACGGAGAAGGCUAUGUUGGCCGGGCGACGGUUGUCCCGGUUUAAGCGUGUAGGCUGGUUUUCCAGGCAAAUCCGGAAAAUCAAGGCUGAGGCGUGAUGACGAGGCACUACGGUGCUGAAGCAACAAAUGCCCUGCUUCCAGGAAAAGCCUCUAAGCAUCAGGUAACAUCAAAUCGUACCCCAAACCGACACAGGUGGUCAGGUAGAGAAUACCAAGGCGCUUGAGAGAACUCGGGUGAAGGAACUAGGCAAAAUGGUGCCGUAACUUCGGGAGAAGGCACGCUGAUAUGUAGGUGAAGUCCCUCGCGGAUGGAGCUGAAAUCAGUCGAAGAUACCAGCUGGCUGCAACUGUUUAUUAAAAACACAGCACUGUGCAAACACGAAAGUGGACGUAUACGGUGUGACGCCUGCCCGGUGCCGGAAGGUUAAUUGAUGGGGUCAGCGCAAGCGAAGCUCUUGAUCGAAGCCCCGGUAAACGGCGGCCGUAACUAUAACGGUCCUAAGGUAGCGAAAUUCCUUGUCGGGUAAGUUCCGACCUGCACGAAUGGCGUAAUGAUGGCCAGGCUGUCUCCACCCGAGACUCAGUGAAAUUGAACUCGCUGUGAAGAUGCAGUGUACCCGCGGCAAGACGGAAAGACCCCGUGAACCUUUACUAUAGCUUGACACUGAACAUUGAGCCUUGAUGUGUAGGAUAGGUGGGAGGCUUUGAAGUGUGGACGCCAGUCUGCAUGGAGCCGACCUUGAAAUACCACCCUUUAAUGUUUGAUGUUCUAACGUUGACCCGUAAUCCGGGUUGCGGACAGUGUCUGGUGGGUAGUUUGACUGGGGCGGUCUCCUCCUAAAGAGUAACGGAGGAGCACGAAGGUUGGCUAAUCCUGGUCGGACAUCAGGAGGUUAGUGCAAUGGCAUAAGCCAGCUUGACUGCGAGCGUGACGGCGCGAGCAGGUGCGAAAGCAGGUCAUAGUGAUCCGGUGGUUCUGAAUGGAAGGGCCAUCGCUCAACGGAUAAAAGGUACUCCGGGGAUAACAGGCUGAUACCGCCCAAGAGUUCAUAUCGACGGCGGUGUUUGGCACCUCGAUGUCGGCUCAUCACAUCCUGGGGCUGAAGUAGGUCCCAAGGGUAUGGCUGUUCGCCAUUUAAAGUGGUACGCGAGCUGGGUUUAGAACGUCGUGAGACAGUUCGGUCCCUAUCUGCCGUGGGCG